UACGGAGGGUGCAAGCGUUAAUCGGAAUUACUGGGCGUAAAGCGCACGCAGGUGGCUGAGUCAGUCGAUUGUGAAAGCCCUGGGCUUAACCUGGGAAUUGCAGUCGAUACUACUCGGCUCGAGUAUGGGAGAGGGCAGUGGAAUUCCCGGUGUAGCGGUGAAAUGCGUAGAUAUCGGGAGGAACAUCAGUGGCGAAGGCGGCUGCCUGGCCCGAUACUGACACUCAGGUGCGACAGCGUGGGGAGCAAACAGG
RNAcentral lists this ribosomal RNA (253 nucleotides) under uncultured bacterium. RNAcentral describes it as "partial 16S ribosomal RNA". It matches the Rfam family "Bacterial small subunit ribosomal RNA", at positions 524 to 776 of the family's 1533-position model. The record is from RNAcentral.